Pezoporus occidentalis (night parrot) is the source of this 786-nucleotide long non-coding RNA. RefSeq lists it as uncharacterized. Lineage: Eukaryota; Metazoa; Chordata; Aves; Psittaciformes; Psittacidae. The transcript has 3 exons. The record is from RefSeq and is a predicted model, not a curated record.
UUAAUCAAUGCCAGCUCCCUAAGUCUCCAAGCAGGCCCCCAAGAUAGAAGAUUGAUUGGUCUGAAUACAUCAUACAUAAACCAGGAAUACUUCAUAAGAAUGUAAAUGACAUUUGUUUCUGAGAGCUACAAAGACAUUUCUGUGAACAAUAUAAUGACUUUCUGCUUGUCUUAGCUGGGAGGCUAAACCUCAUUUCUGAGCUAUGGUUUGGGCACCCAGAGGCUGUUGGUGGGAAAGACUUGCUGGGACCUUCUCUUGUAGCAACCACAUGGAGCUUGUGAGUUGGCCUGUUGACACUGCACGAACAUGAAUGGGAUAUAUUCAGAACUGCCUCUGGAGAGGAAGGUGAGGAAGCAAAGCUCAAUAACUAUGGUUUCUGAGGAACUCUGUAAGGAAAUUAAACAAUAACAGAGUAGAAGAUCAACAAUUCCAGGUAAACAUGCCAAUAUGUUGAUUUUACACAUAUGGCUAUUUUCAUCCUUAUAUGAUUAAACUCCCACAGCUAGUGCUGUGAUUAGUGUUCUCCUUCCAAACCAAGUUAAAGAUUAUCUGCAGUGUUUCAGUGUCUGUGGAAGGGAUUGAUAAGAAUUCCCAUAUUAUAGUAAAAAAAAAAUUACUGCUAUGAUGACAUUCUGGAUAGAAAGUUCACUUCUUUUACAUUUCCAUGUGACAAUAAGCCAACAUGUCUUCUUUUUGUUUCAGCAACACCUGGGAUAAAUCUAUGCCACAGACCAAGGCUCUUGCUAUCCCAACAUGAACUCCUUUGCACAUGCUUGUCAUAGUAAC